Molecule: ribosomal RNA, 255 nt
Filed under: uncultured bacterium
Lineage: Bacteria
Description: partial 16S ribosomal RNA
Rfam family: Bacterial small subunit ribosomal RNA
Source: RNAcentral
GAUCCUGGCUCAGGAUGAACGCUGGCGGCGUGCUUAACACAUGCAAGUCGAACGAAGCACUUAAAUUUGAUUCUUCGGAUGAAGAUUUUUGUGACUUAGUGGCGGACGGGUGAGUAACGCGUGGGUAACCUGCCUCACACAGGGGGAUAACAGUUGGAAACGACCGCUAAUACCGCAUAACCCGCUAGGGCCGCAUGGCCCGGACGGAAAAGAUUUAUCGGUGUGAGAUGGACCCGCGUUGGAUUAGCUAGUUGG